Molossus molossus (Pallas's mastiff bat) is the source of this 162-nucleotide small nuclear RNA. RefSeq annotates it as U1 spliceosomal RNA. The record is from RefSeq and is a predicted model, not a curated record. NCBI's taxonomy places the organism in Eukaryota, Metazoa, Chordata, Mammalia, Chiroptera, Molossidae. The transcript has a single exon.
AUACUUACCUGACAGGGGAAAUACCAUGAUCACGAAGGCAGUUUUCCCAGGGCGAGGCUUACACAUUGCACUCUGGAUGUGCUGACCCCUGUGAUUUUGCCAAAUGUGGGAAACGCAACUGCACAAUUUUGUAGUGGGGGAUUGUGUUUGUGUUCUCCCCUG